This 374-nucleotide ribosomal RNA is filed under the name uncultured organism. Its description in RNAcentral is "partial 16S ribosomal RNA". It matches the Rfam family "Bacterial small subunit ribosomal RNA", at positions 527 to 896 of the family's 1533-position model. The record is from RNAcentral.
GUAGGUGGCAAGCGUUGUCCGGAAUUAUUGGGCGUAAAGCGCGCGCAGGCGGUUCUUUAAGUCUGAUGUGAAAGCCCACGGCUCAACCGUGGAGGGUCAUUGGAAACUGGAGAACUUGGGUACAGAAGGGGAAAGCGGAAUUCCACGUGUAGCGGUGAAAUGCGUAGAGAUGUGGAGGAACACCAGUGGCGAAGGCGGCUUUUCUGGUCUGUAACUGACGCUGAGGCGCGAAAGCGUGGGGAGCAAACAGGGAUUAGAUACCCUGGUAGUCCACGCCGUAAACGAUGAGUGCUAAGUGUUAGGGGGUUUCCGCCCCCUUAGUGCUGCAGCUAACGCAUUAAGCACUCCGCCUGGGGAGUACGGCCGCAAGGCUG